GUCUACAGCCAUACCACCCUGAACGCGCCCGAUCUCGUCUGAUCUCGGAAGCUAAGCAGGGUCGGGCCUGGUUAGUACUUGGAUGGGAGAACCUCUUUGCCAGCAACUUUGGGCU
This 115-nucleotide ribosomal RNA is filed under the name Sorex araneus (European shrew). Lineage: Eukaryota; Metazoa; Chordata; Mammalia; Eulipotyphla; Soricidae. The record is from RNAcentral.